UCUGGUACUGUUCAACCACUGUAUCUUUUUAGUUUCCAAAGGUCCAAAACUCUGCCCUCUGGUACUGUUCAACCACUGUAUCUUUUUAGUUUCCAAAGGUCCAAAACUCUGCCCUCUGGUACUGUUCAACCACUGUAUCUUUUUAGUUUCCAAAGGUCCAAAGCUCUGCCCUCUGGUACUGUUCAACCAUUGUAUCUUUUUAGUUUCCAAAGGUCCAAAACUCUGCCCUCUGGUACUGUUCAACCAUUGUAUCUUUUUAGUUUCCAAAGGUCCAAAGCUCUGCCCCCUGGUACUAUUCAACCAUUGUAUCUUUUUAGUUUCCAAAGGUCCAAAGCUCUGCCCCCUGGUACUAUUCAACCAUUGUAUCUUUUUAGUUUCCAAAGGUCCAAAACUCUGCCCUCUGGUACUGUUCAACCACUGUAUCUUUUUAGUUUCCAAAGGUCCAAAACUCUGCCCUCUGGUACUGUUCAACCACUGUAUCUUUUUAGUUUCCAAAGGUCCAAAACUCUGCCCUCUGGUACUGUUCAACCAUUGUAUCUUUUUAGUUUCCAAAGGUCCAAAACUCUGCCCUCUGGUACUGUUCAACCAUUGUAUCUUUUUAGUUUCCAAAGGUCCAAAACUCUGCCCUCUGGUACUGUUCAACCAUUGUAUCUUUUUAGUUUCCAAAGGUCCAAAGCUCUGCCCUCUGCUACUGUUCAACCAUUGUAUCUUUUUAGUUUCCAAAGGUCCAAAACUCUGC
This is a long non-coding RNA of Eriocheir sinensis (Chinese mitten crab), 739 nucleotides long. RefSeq lists it as uncharacterized. The record is from RefSeq and is a predicted model, not a curated record. The transcript has 3 exons. NCBI's taxonomy places the organism in Eukaryota, Metazoa, Arthropoda, Malacostraca, Decapoda, Varunidae.